UGCCAGCACUGGAGCUCAGA
Molecule: microRNA, 20 nt
Filed under: Eptesicus fuscus (big brown bat)
Lineage: Eukaryota; Metazoa; Chordata; Mammalia; Chiroptera; Vespertilionidae
Description: efu-miR-9238
Source: miRBase by way of RNAcentral